AAUAUUGGACAAUGGUGGCAACCCUGAUCCAGCCAUGCCGCGUGUGUGAAGAAUGUCUCCGGAUUGUAAAGUACUUUAAGUUGGGAGGAAGGGCCUUCGGUUAAUACGCUGACGAUUUCACGUUACCAACAGAAUAAGCACCGGCUAACUCUGUACCAGCAGCCGCGGUAAUACAGCGGGUGCAAGCGUUAAUCGGAAUUACUGGGCGUAAAGCGCGCGUAGGUGGUUCAGUAAGAUGGGUGUGAAAUCCCCGGGCUUAACCUGGGAACUGCUUUCAUAACUGCUGAGCUAGAGUACGGUAGAGGGUAGUGGAAUUUCCUGUGUAGCGGUGAAAUGCGUAGAUAUAGGAAGGAACACCAGUGGCGAAGGCGACUACCUGGACUGAUACUGACACUGAGGUGCGAAAGCGUGGGGAGCAAACA
This 422-nucleotide ribosomal RNA is filed under the name uncultured bacterium. Its description in RNAcentral is "partial 16S ribosomal RNA". It matches the Rfam family "Bacterial small subunit ribosomal RNA", at positions 360 to 774 of the family's 1533-position model. The record is from RNAcentral.